Molecule: ribosomal RNA, 510 nt
Filed under: uncultured bacterium
Lineage: Bacteria
Description: partial 16S ribosomal RNA
Rfam family: Bacterial small subunit ribosomal RNA
Source: RNAcentral
GACGAACGCUGGCGGCGUGCUUAACACAUGCAAGUCGAACGAAGAGCGAUGGAAGCUUGCUUCUUUCAAUCUUAGUGGCGCACGGGUGAGUAACGCGUAAUCAACCUGCCCUUCAGAGGGGGACAACCGUAGGAAACGACUGCUAAUAACGCAUACGAUCCGACCUCGGCAUCGAGGAUGGCUGCAAGCUGGCCUCUAUUUAUAAGCUAUCACUGAAGGUGGGGAUUGCGUGUGAUUAGCUAGUUGGGGGGGUAACGGCCCCCCAAGGCCAUGAUCAGUAGCCGGUCUGAGAGGAUGAACGGCCACAUUGGGACUGAGACACGGCCCAGACUCCUACGGGAGGCAGCAGUGGGGAAACUUCCGCAAUGGACGAAAGUCUGACGGAGCAACGCCGCGUGAGGGAUGACGGCCUUCGGGUUGUAAAGCUCUGUUAAUCGGGACGAAAGGGCUGCUUGCGAAUAGUUAGAAGAAUUGACGGUACCGGAAUAGAAAGCCACGGCUAACUACGUG